Molecule: ribosomal RNA, 1629 nt
Filed under: Triticum aestivum (bread wheat)
Lineage: Eukaryota; Viridiplantae; Streptophyta; Magnoliopsida; Poales; Poaceae
Description: partial small subunit ribosomal RNA
Source: RNAcentral
AUGCUCCUGGGGUGGCCGAGGAGCAGCAGGGUGGAGACUGCUCGGCCCAGAUGUGCGGCAACGUCAGCAUCUUCGAUCCCUUCAGGCUCACUGGCUUGCAGACCGGAAGAUCAUGCGCUUCUUCUCCCCGGGAUUUUGAAGUAGCUUGUACUAACAACAGUUAUCCAUCUCUACGGAGCUCCAUACCCUUCAACAGGGGCUUCGAAAUCCUCAACAUCUCCUACGACGAACGCAGCUUGUAUGCGGUUGAUCUGGAAAAGCUGGAUUUAUGGCGUGCCCGCAACAGCUGCCGUGUACCGAUCUGGAACACCUCAGUCAAACUGAAUGGGCCAUUUAGGAUCGACCCCGCCAACCUCAACCUCAUCCUGUACAACUGCACGGCGGCGGCGGCCUUGGCACGUCGGGACGUACAGAGGCCUCGUGCAGACGAGCGUGAGAUGCGCGAACGAGUGGGAGGUGCUUGUCCGCGCCGGAGUACCUCACGACGCCACAGGGAACUACGCCGGCUAUGCAUUGGAAGGCUGCGCUGCUAUCGUCGUGCCCGUGUCGGGCUCGUCGGCGGGGCCGGGGAUAAACGGGAGCGGCUACGAGCAGCUCUUCAACGAUGGCUUCCUCUUGACAUGGAGUUGCCCGCCUCAGACCACUCUCCUUCCACGUAGCAAGACGACUCGCACGAGGAUUAUAACAAUAGCUUUGACAUCAGCAGCUGCAGCACUGCUCUUUCCAUGUAUUUAUGUGCUGAUAUGGUAUAUGACGGGUAAAAGAAACUGGUUUCUUAUCUGGAAAAAGAAAAGCAGCAGCACUGAAAGGCAUUAUGAGGCCAUGAUAGCGUGGUAUGGAUCACUUGCUCCAAAAAGAUACACAUACUCAGAGGUAAUGAAGAUAACAUCGUCUCGCCAUAAGCAGCUUGGUCAAGGUGGUUAUGGUGUGGUUUUUGAAGGAAAUUCUUGCAUGACUGCAAAGGAAAUGGGGAGGAGUUUGUGAAUGAGGUUACAAGCAUUGGCAUGACCUCUCAUGUCAAUGUUGUUAGCCUGUUUGGGAUUUUGUUUGGAGGGAUCAAAACGAGCUCUUAUAUAUGAGUACAUGUGCAAUGGUUCCUUGGAUAGAUACAUUUACUUAGAGAACCCAAAAGAAAUUUUAGGAUGGGAGAGGCUCUAUGCGAUAGCGAUUGGGAUAGCUCGUGGACUGGAAUAUUUGCACCAUAGCUGUAAUACACGGAUCGUCCAUUUUGACAUUAAGCCUCAAAAUAUCCUUCUAGACAAAGAUUUUUGCCCAAAGAUUGCCGAUUUCGGUCUUGCCAAGCUGUGUCGUACCAAGGAGAGCAAGCUUUCAAUGAUUGGUGCUAGAGGAACAAUUGGAUUCAUUGCUCCAGAAGUUCACUCACGAAACUUCGGACUUGUUUCAACGAAAUCAGAUGUUUAUAGUUAUGGAAUGAUGUUGCUAGAGAUGGUCGGAGGAAGGAAAAAUGUGAAAUCAGUGGCUGAAAAAUCUAGCGAAAAGUAUUUCUCAGAUUGGAUUUAUGACCACUUUGCUCAAGAUGAUGGAUUAGAAGCAUGCGAAGUUACAAGUGACAUUGAGGAAAUUGCAAGAAAGAUGACCUUGAUUGGCUUGUGGUGCAUACAUGUAUAA